Molecule: long non-coding RNA, 344 nt
Filed under: Lathyrus oleraceus (garden pea)
Lineage: Eukaryota; Viridiplantae; Streptophyta; Magnoliopsida; Fabales; Fabaceae
Description: Pisum sativum (pea) long non-coding RNA (PSAT_LNC025155)
Source: RNAcentral
AGUUAGUAAGUGGUCUGGUGGAGGGGAUGGUUUCUAGAUCUUUAGUGUAGUGGGUUCGAUACCACUAGGUGUAGUUUUUUUUUUCUUUUAACAUUUUCUUUUACGUUUAUGUUUUAUUACUCAUAGCUUUUAUAACAUAGAUUUGUUUUUUCUUUUUAAUUGCAUCAUGUGUUCGAAGCCAUUUGAAAACUAUAAAAAAUCAUACUUUUCUCGAUUUAAUAUCGAGCCGAUUUCCACAUCCUUGUAAGUCGAUUGCUUUUUAAGCAUCGCCAUCAACCUCACAUAGCUUACUCUUGGGCUUUCUUACAAUGAGCCGGUUCUCUUGCACUUACACUCAUGCGUUG